GCCCUGAUGGUGAAAGAGGUAGACACAGUUGUCUCAAAAACAAUAGCGUAAAGCGUGGAGGUUCAAGUCCUCUUCAGGGCA
Molecule: transfer RNA, 81 nt
Filed under: Pleurastrum terricola
Lineage: Eukaryota; Viridiplantae; Chlorophyta; Chlorophyceae; Chlamydomonadales; Pleurastraceae
Description: tRNA-Leu
Rfam family: tRNA
About the family: Transfer RNA (tRNA) molecules are approximately 80 nucleotides in length. Their secondary structure includes four short double-helical elements and three loops (D, anti-codon, and T loops).
Source: RNAcentral